UGGGGAAUAUUGCACAAUGGGCGCAAGCCUGAUGCAGCCAUGCCGCGUGUAUGAAGAAGGCCUUCGGGUUGUAAAGUACUUUCAGUCGGGAGGAAGGUGUCAAGGUUAAUAACCUUGGCAAUUGACGUUACCGACAGAAGAAGCACCGGCUAACUCCGUGCCAGCAGCCGCGGUAAUACGGAGGGUGCAAGCGUUAAUCGGAAUUACUGGGCGUAAAGCGCACGCAGGCGGUUGAUUGAGUCAGAUGUGAAAUCCCCGGGCUUAACCCGGGAAUUGCAUCUGAUACUGGGCAGCUAGAGUCUUGUAGAGGGGGGUAGAAUUCCAUGUGUAGCGGUGAAAUGCGUAGAGAUGUGGAGGAAUACCGGUGGCGAAGGCGGCCCCCUGGACAAAGACUGACGCUCAGGUGCGAAAGCGUGGGGAGCAAACAGG
Molecule: ribosomal RNA, 429 nt
Filed under: Chloroflexota bacterium
Lineage: Bacteria; Bacillati; Chloroflexota
Description: Chloroflexi bacterium partial 16S ribosomal RNA
Rfam family: Bacterial small subunit ribosomal RNA
Source: RNAcentral